AUAAGUGAUAUAGAGCAAAACCCUAAAAACGGUACUCAGUUCGGAUUGAAGGCUGAAAUUCGCCUUCAUGAAGCUGGAAUUGCUAGUAAUGGCAGGUCAGCAUACUGCCGUGAAUACGUUCCCGGGCCUUGUACACACCGCCCGUCACACCAUGAGAGUUGGGAAUACCCGAAGCCUGUGAGCUAACAUAUGAGGCAGCAGUCGAAGGUAGAAUCAAUGAUUGGGGUGAAGUCGUAACAAGGUACC
Molecule: ribosomal RNA, 246 nt
Filed under: uncultured bacterium
Lineage: Bacteria
Description: partial 16S ribosomal RNA
Rfam family: Bacterial small subunit ribosomal RNA
Source: RNAcentral